This 1266-nucleotide long non-coding RNA is filed under the name Oreochromis niloticus (Nile tilapia). RNAcentral's name for it is "lncRNA (ENSONIG00000032598.1)". Lineage: Eukaryota; Metazoa; Chordata; Actinopteri; Cichliformes; Cichlidae. The record is from RNAcentral.
AUGGAGCACCUCUUCAACCUGAGCCUGAGGCUGGGAAGAGUCCCACAGCUCUGGAAAACCUCCUGUGUUGUACCAAUGCCAAAGACUUCACACCUCAACAGCUACAGGCCGGUGGCUCUGACAUCCCACCUGAUGAAGACCCUGGAGCGGCUGGUCCUGGCUCAGCUUCAGCACCUGGUGAGCUCAUCACUGGACCCACUUCAGUUUGCCUACCAGCCUGGCAUUGGAGCGGAUGAUGCCGUCAUUCACCUUCUACAUCGUUCCCUUGCUCACCUGGAGACCGCUGGGAGCACUGUGAGAAUCAUGUUCUUUGAUUUCUCCAGUGCCUUCAACACUAUUCUUCCCUCGGUUCUGAAGGACAAGCUGGAGAACUCAGGAGUGGACCAUCACCUCACUACCUGGAUUUUGGACUACCUCACCGACCGACCACAGUAUGUGAGGACUCAGGGCUGUGUGUCGGACAGGGUCGUCUGCAGUACGGGGGCCCCACAGGGAAUGGUUCUGGCUACGUUCCUCUUCAUCUACACUGCAGACUUCUCCCACAACUCCACCCAGUGCUUCCUGCAGAAGUUCUCUGAUGACUCUGCAAUAGUCGGCCUGAUCACUGAUGGGGACGACAAGGAGUACAGAGGACUGACUCAAGACUUUGUGGACUGGUGCCAGCUGAACUACCUCCAGAUCAAUGCCAGUAAAACCAAGGAGCUGGUGGUAGACUUCCGCAGGCACAAACAUCCUCCACUGCAACCACUGAACAUCCAAGGUAUGGACAUCGAGGCUGUGGACAGCUACAGGUACCUUGGUGUUCAUCUGAACAACAAACUGGACUGGACUCAUAAUUCAGACGCCCUCUACAGGAAAGGGCAGAGCAGGCUGUACCUGCUGCGGAGACUCAGGUCGUUUGGAGUAGAGGGCCCACUCCUGAAGACGUUCUAUGACUCUGUGGUGGCCUCAGCCAUCUUUUAUGGUGUGGUCUGCUGGGGCGGCAGCAUCUCUGCUGGGGACAGGAAGAGACUGAACAGGCUGAUCCGAAGGGCCAGCUCUGUUCUAGGAUGCCCUCUGGACCCAGUGGAGGUGGUGAGUGACAGGAGAAUGGUGGCUAAGCUGUCAUCCCUGUUGGACAACAUCUCCCACCCCAUGCAUGAGACUGUGACAGCACUGAGCAGCUCCUUCAGUGGGAGACUGCGGCACCCACGGUGUGGGACGGAGAGAUUUCACAGGUCUUUCCUCCCCACUGCUGUCAGACUCCACAACAAAGACUUUAACUGA